CCAAUCAACCUCUGAUGACACCUAACUGGUUUAUGGCUUUAGGGUGCUGGGCUGCACCUCAUUGGCUCUUAAUAUGAACACCACAAGAUCUUAUCAAGUGGACAGUCUCUUCUUUUUAUGUGCACUAAGCAGAUUUGUCUUCAAUCCAAUGGAAGGAGUAGAUAAUCCAGCCAUGGUCCAUGUUGAAGAUUCAGUUCACUAUAAGUCCAGCAAGUGGGGGACCAGCACAGAAUGCAGGAGUAAGGAAAGGAGAUUGGCUUGUCUGGAUCAAUCCAGUGGAAUGUUAGGUAAAGAAGAGCAGCGAUC
Electrophorus electricus (electric eel) is the source of this 306-nucleotide long non-coding RNA. RefSeq lists it as uncharacterized. NCBI's taxonomy places the organism in Eukaryota, Metazoa, Chordata, Actinopteri, Gymnotiformes, Gymnotidae. The record is from RefSeq and is a predicted model, not a curated record.